This 556-nucleotide unclassified non-coding RNA is filed under the name uncultured Microbacteriaceae bacterium. RNAcentral's name for it is "partial contains 16S-23S ribosomal RNA intergenic spacer, and 23S ribosomal RNA". The stretch from base 413 to 556 matches the Rfam family "Bacterial large subunit ribosomal RNA", at positions 1 to 144 of the family's 2925-position model. Lineage: Bacteria; Bacillati; Actinomycetota; Actinomycetes; Micrococcales; Microbacteriaceae. The record is from RNAcentral.
CUUGUGGGUGUCCAGGCGCCAGAUCGAGACCGUUCGUGUCUCGCUGGUAGCUCAUGGGUGGAACAUUGACAUUGGUGCAGCUGGAACCGGUGGGGUCCUAGUACGUCGUUCGCAAGAACGACUGGAAAGGGUUCGAUCGGGGAGGGUUGCACGUGCACGCUGUUGGGUCCUGAGGGACCGGGCCGGCGCCUUGAUGGUGCUGGGCUGAACCUCUGGACCCUUUCGUCGUUGCCUUUCGGGGUGCGGCGGGGGGUACCGCCCGUACUUUGAGAACUACACAGUGGACGCGAGCAUCUUAGAUUCAGGCCUUCGUGCCUGGAUCACAAAAGAUCUGACUGCAUCUCUUCGGAGAUGUGUAGAUCAUUGGUCAAUCUCGGUACUUCGGUACCGCGAUCGAUUCAUACUCAUGUGAUUUCAAGUUUCUAAGAGCACACGGUGGAUGCCUUGGCAUCUGGAGCCGAAGAAGGACGUAGUAAUCUGCGAUAAGCCUCGGGGAGCUGAUAAACGAGCUGUGAUCCGAGGGUCUCCGAAUGGGGAAACCCCGCUGGGCCCUUUG